CAAAGCAAACAGGGAUAUCUAUGUUUGGCUCUCAUCAGCGGGCUUUGAAACAAAACGUGAACAGCUCUGUCUACAGAUGUAGUCUGGGUGGAUGAAGGAUACUCUUCAUUUCAAGUGAGGAAACUGAGGCAUCCAGAGCUCAUGGUGAAAUGGAGAGAGUUCUUCCUAGGGCAUGGAGAAGGGAGGAACCACAAGAUGGAAAUAGCCUGGGCCCUUGACUAACUGCAUGGAAAGAAGUCUGCAAGGCCGGGAACACCUGCACAGACUUUGACGCAUCCAAGCCAGACCAGAAACGUGAGCUGACUGAGUUCAUCACGCGGUGCGGCCCUGACUGGUGUCCUUUCUUGAGGCAUCAGUAAGAUCCAGACUGACCUCCCCCAACCCCACGGCCACAGAGCCUGCCCUUAUCCCUAGGCCUUGGCCUUCCAAGGUUGGGCUGUUGUAUGAUUUUGCUCAUGACAGUUCCCUUACCUCCUGGAAGAGU
This is a long non-coding RNA of Lontra canadensis (Northern American river otter), 484 nucleotides long. RefSeq lists it as uncharacterized. The transcript is spliced from 4 exons. NCBI's taxonomy places the organism in Eukaryota, Metazoa, Chordata, Mammalia, Carnivora, Mustelidae. The record is from RefSeq and is a predicted model, not a curated record.